AAUGACACAAGUAUUCAGUACUUUGUUGAAUCCAGCCAGGAUUCAUUUUUGGUUAGACAUGACAUGUUUCAAACACCUGGAUUUGGGGAUUUUCUGCCAUUGUAUUCUGCAGAUCCUCUCAAGCUCUGUAGGUGGAGAACAUUGAUAGACUGUUUUCAGGUCUUAUCACAGAUUUCUGGCCAUUUGAGGCAGAAACGAACAGGUUCACUAAUGGACCAAUCUCAAUGGCAUUUAGGCCUUGUAGCUGUUCUCUGUUCAGAUGUGUCUGACACCAGCAAGGGCACUCUUAAUGUCAGUCUGGAUUUGUUGCAGGACAACAAAAAAUGUUGUGAGUUUGACUGGAGUUCAGCAGCUUCCCAGUUUGAGUCCUGCCUCUGUGUGUGUGUGUGUACCUGUUCAUUUUCCGUCCUGCAUCCUUAUUAGUUCAUGUCCGACUUGCUCCUGCACAGUUAUUUAGCUGUUAGUUUAAAAUAAUCACUGUAGUUCAUAAUUACGCCAUUAGUAUUUUAUAAAUUUCUCUAUUCCUGUGCAAUCAUGGUGAAUGUAUUAUCCAUUCUAUAAGAAAAAAGGUGAGCAAGGAAGAUUUGUCUUUGUGCAAAGAUAAAGAGAAAUCUCAAUGAGUAGGUCUCCUUUUUAAAUCUGUUUUUAAUCCUACUUGUCUUCCCUGCCCUGAGAUUCAGACUUUUUGCAGGCUGGUCAGCAGAGAUACAUAAUCCUUUGAAAUAUGUCAAAUAAAAUAUCUUUUAGCAUUACUCGCGAGAAACGUGAAGCUUUGUUCAAUUUAAGGCAUGGCCUUACUGUUAGAAUACAGCCAGGGGAGAAAGAUAACAGUAUUGUGGUUAUGGACAUGUCGUCACAUUUAGAGAAAGGCUUUUAGACAAGUGAUGUAUUUUACUAUAAGAUGUUAAAAAUGGAUCCAAUGCCUGAUAUUUUCGUGAUCAGUUCUACAAUAGAUGCUGCUUGGUCUUCAGAAUUAUUUAAUGCGGAUUUAGCUUGACGGUAAUGCGAUCAACACUUCAUUUUUCUCACAGGUUACAGGUACAGUAGGUACACCAGAAGAAUUAUUUUGGUAAUCCUCCUGAUCAGCCUUUCAUCUUGGCCAGCAGUUCCAUUUUACAACUAUUGAUCAAGCUGCUUCCCUUCCUGGCUCUCAUGUUAGGUCUCCGCACAUUUUGUGUGCCUUUUUAAUGAAAUUAUUCAUCUUGAAGAUUACAUUAUGGCCAGUAUAGAUAUAGGACCUGUAUAUUCCUACAUUGCUUUAACAGCUGUUCAUCUUGAAGAUUAAAGUUCAGUGUUGUCAUUGUAUACUUAUCAGUUAGAUUUAAGUUCUCUUAUUCAUCAACAUACACAUGUGACUCUUAAUUGGAAUUUUUUAUUUAACAAUAUAUUUUUUUUUUUGAUGAUAAAUAGGCGUUGCGAUGAUUGAUGCCUUUAGUCCAAGCAUCGCCAGUCUGUUUUUGUUUCUAAUUUUGUGCAACAUUAUUUUAUUUUCUUCCAGUAAUCCGUUUAUAUUGAGAUUUUUUUUUUUUAUUCUUUUUAUUUGACUUUGAUGAAAUUGAAGAUGUUUCUCUGAACGGAACCCUCAUAUAUCCUUUUACACUUUAAGUCAUUUUUUUUUUUAGAUAUUGUCAUUAGUGUUAAUAAAUUCUUUCAGUCCUUAUUGUAUAGAAAACUGACUGACUCAAUUACUUUACUUGGUGCCACCAGCUUUCAUUCCAGAUCACACAUCAACAUUCCUGUUUCUCAGGUUUCUUGUAUAUGAUGAAACUGUUGAGACCAUCAGGAUUUCAUCUGCCAAUAAUUUGAAAAUAUUGUUUUUUUCUGAAUGGGCUAUUUAAAAUAUGUAUUUAAAUAUGCAGUUUAUAUUGACAGCAACCAUUUACUCGUGUAUAACAACAGAAGCCAUCAUUGAAUAAAGUAUAUAGUCUUGCAUAUUCAAACUGUGCUAAUUGUAUUUGCUGUAUUUUAAAACAUGAGCACAUGUGUAGCUUACCAUCUGUUUCCUCUACAUCUCCCCUCUUUGCGGUCUCCAUUAGAUAGAUAGAUACUUUAUUAAUCCCAAUGGGAAAUUCACAAAUUAUCAUUAUUCAUAAUAUUAAGGACUAGUCAUUUAGCCCGUUACAAUAACGGGCGCUAGAACAGUAGUGCAUAAACAUUAGUAGGAACAGUCUAUAUUAAAUGGCAAGGGACUUUGACCUCAUUCUUUUUGUUGGUCGUAUUUUUCUUUCUUUCAGCCUUUCUUUUGUUGAUGUUUACUUGCUGAGCUGACCGUUCUUCGUGGGCUGCCGCCGUGUAUUGUGUGUCUUUAAUUUUCUGUGACAGUAAUACUGUCUUGUACGGCUCUAUUCAAUAAGGGCGUGUAGAUAAUUUAGUUCAAAUGGCUCUGGAAUAUGUGAAGAGCAACAGGUGCAGAUCUUUAUUUACGCGCGCCUUUAUUCGCUGCGCCCAAUUGAGGUCGUCCUUUUGAGGCUCGCCUUUUUGUGCGCGCCCUUAUUGAAGGAUACCGUCUUGUACGUCCGCUGGCUUGUACGUCCGUAAUAUACGUCCGUACGUCUUUAAUAUACCUUUAAUUUUCUCUGGCGGUAAUACAGGCAUGCGCGUCGGUAAUAUGCCUUUAAUCUCCUCUGACAGUAAUACUGGCUUGUAUGUGGCUGUAAUAUGCGUCACUGUAUUGUGUAUCUUUAAUUUCCUCUCGCAGUAAUACUGGUUUGUAUUUCCGUAAAACGCCUCUAACUUUCUCUGACAGUAAUAUCGCGCGCCACACCGUGCCCCGCGCAUGCGCACUUCACCAGAAGACACCCACACAUGGACACCUGGACGCACAUAGGGAUUUUAUAUAUAUAUAGAUUAUGUAGUUAAUCACCUCCUUACCUACUAUAACUCACUCCACAUUAUUCUGCGGCAUUCUCUUCUGUCUUCAAAUUUCAUUAGAAACAAGUUGCAUGAGGUAUUUCAGUUGUUAGUGUGUGGUUUACGUAUAGCAUGUUAGCAUCACUGUAUUGAUUAUAUUACCUUGAUGCUUCAUAUACAGCAGGGAAAGUAAGUAUUGAACGUGCCAACGUUUUUCUCAGUAAAUCUAUUUCUAAUGGGGCUAUUGACAUGAAAUUUACACCAGAUGUCGGAAUCAACUCAAGUAAUCUGCACAUAGAAAGGAACCAAAGCAAAUAAGUCCAUAAAUUAUGCGUAAUAAAGUGGAAUGACACAGGGAAUAAGUAUUGAACACGCUUAAUUAAAUUUAUUUAAUACUUAGUAGAAAAGCCUUUAUUGGUAAUGAGAACUUCAAAUCGCCUCCUGUAUGGAGAAAAUAGUUGCAUGCAUUGCUCAGGUGUGGUUUUGGCCCAUUCUUCCACACAAACUGCCUUCAAAUCUUGAAGGUUCCAGGGGCCUCUUCUAUGAACUCUGAUCUUCAGUUCUUGCCAUAGAUUUUCAGUUGGAUUCCAGUCGGGUGAUUGACUUGGCCGUUCUAGCAGCUUUAUUUUCUUUCUCUGAAACCAAUUGAGUGUUUCUUUGUCUGUGUGUUUUGAGAUCCUUGUUUUGCUGAAAUAUCCACCCUCAUUUUAUCUUCAUCCUGGGAGAUGGCAGCAGAUUCUUAUUAAGAAUGUCCCGGUACAUUUCUCCAUUCACCCUUCCUUCAAUGCCAGUACCAUAUGCUGAAAAACAGCCCCACACCAUGAUGUUCCCACCUCCAAACUUCACUGUUGAUAUGGUGUUUAUGGGGUCCAGUGCCAUUUCUCCUCCAAACAUGCUGUGUACAAUGACAUCCAAAGAGUUCCAUUUUGCUCUCAUCUGACCAGACUGUAUUCUCCCAGUAUUUCAUUGGCUUGUCCAAAUGUUGUGCAGAAAACUUAAACAAGCUUCAACGUGCUUUUUCUUCAGCAGUGGAGUCUUGCGCGGUGAGCGUGCAUAGAGGCAAUAGCGGUUGAGUGCGUUUCUUAUUGUUUUCUUUGAAACAACUCUACUUGCUAAUUCCUGGUCUUUCUGAAGCUCUCCAUGAGUCAUCCUUGGCUCUUGGGUAACUCUUCUGAUUCUGAUUCUUUUGACUCCUCUGUCAGAAAUCUUGUGAGGAGCACCUGGUCGUGGCCGGUUUAUGGUGAAAUUCCGGAUUAUGGCCCCAACAGUGCCCACCUUUUAGAAUCAGAAGUUUAGAAUUUAGUCUGUAACCAAUGCCAUCAGCAUGUUUUGCAACAAUAAGGUUGUGAAAGUCUUGAGAGAGCUCUUUGUUUUUACCCAUCAUGAGAUGCUUCUUAUGUAACACCUUGGUAAUGAGGAACCUUUUUUAUAGGCCAUCAGUUAGGACUAAACCAGCUGAUAUUCAUUUGCACUGAUAGGAGGCUAUCGGGAUUGCUUUCUAAAUACUGACCGAUGUCUGCGAGUUCUUGGCUUUCCAUGCCCUUUUGACCUCCUUUUCUUCAUGUGUUCAAUAUUUUUUUUCCCUCUUUCAUUCCACUUUUUUACACAUAAUUUAUGGAUUUAUUUGAUUUCAUUUCUUUGUGUGUGAGGAUUACUUGGGUUGUUACCGACAUCUGGCGUAAAAUUCAUGUCAAUAGCCCCAUUAGAAAUAAUGUUUACUGAGAAAAACGUUGACACGUUCAGUACUGAUUUUCCCUGCUGUAUGCCCUCUAAGAGCUGCAACCCCCACGUAAUGGCUGUAGGCAUUCAUUUGAGUUGCUGUGACAAAGCAGAAGUGUUAAUGCAGCGAGAUACAGUGACCAUUGAGCCACUCCAAUCAAUUUUUAUCACAUACUGGGGAUCUUUUUUGAAAUACAGUCCAUACUUUAUUAGCUCUGUCACUGAAUAAUUCUGUCUGUGUUUCAGUUAUCAGUGAGUGCCCCCUGCUAUCUGACAUUGAAAUGGUUGAGGGUUCAAAGGUGGGUGAGCCCUGCACUCUCAGGUGCACCAUUUCCAGGUUUUUCCCAAGUGAUCUCACAGUGACCUGGCUGAGGGUCAGAGCAGAGGAGGGACAUCAACCUGUUACUGCAGGGAUGGCUGAAUGGAGAGCAAUAAUAAACACAACUAGGCCGGAGAGAAGAAAUAACACCUAUGAGGUGACCACUGAAGUCCAGUUCACUCCUAGCAGUCUAGGCGAAGUGGAGGAGAUGACAUACAUCUGCAGGGUGGAGCAUGUGGCCCUUGUGGGAGAGGCCAUUGAGAAGAAGUCCGGCAAACUGGAGUUGGCUGCUGAUGACAGACCUCCCCAGCUCUCUAAUGUGCAGAUUUACUUCACUGAAUUUAAUCAGCCCUGCACCCUGACCUGCAUCAUUUCAGACUUCUACCCCAAAGACAUCAAUGUCACCUGGAUGAGGAGACACAAAGAAACACAGAGGACUGACAUGGCUGAGUCAGAGAACUGGAAGGCCACGGUGUGUCAUUAUGGACCAACCUUAAAAAAUAAUGAAUACUCGCUGGUGUCUAAGUCUGAAUUCACCCCACAGACCCUGAAUGACCUGGAGGAGAUGGAGUUCAUCUGCAGAGUGGAACACAAGACCCUGAAUGAUAUGCCCAUUGAGAAGAGCUCCUCAGUGAUUCCUGGUUUGCAGAAGCGGCCCAUUGUGUCAGCUAUACAGGUGACUGAUUGUGGUGUGUUUAACCAGCAAUACAACCUGAGCUGCUCCAUCCAGGAUUUCUUCCCCAAAGACAUCAAAGUUACCUGGCGUUCAGAAACAACAGGUUAUGGCUUUGGUGGCAACAUCAGUGCUUUACCUUAUGCUCCUCAGAGAGGAAGAAGAAGCUAUCGUGUGGUUUCUAAUGCCACCGUCUUCCCCCAGCAUAUGAAUUCCAUAGAAAAUGUGAUCUGUACAGUGGAGCAUGAGAGUCUGAAUGGGAAAUCUAUUGAGCUACGGAUUGGGAAGUUGCCCAGGUGAAUGCAUCUGUCUGCAAGUCAUGAAGUACAGGAAAACAUCUUCUAAUUUCCCAGUCUGAAUGGCAGUUGUGGGUCCUGAAUCCACAGACUAGCUGUUGUAUACUGUAGUGUUUUUUCAUUGAUUUUAAUUAGAAGUAGAUAACAUUCCAUACAAUCAACAAAGAAAACCAAAAUUCAACCCCCACCCAAGAAAAAGAGAGGAGAACCAGCAAAUGAAGCUACUGUAUAAAAAUAAGAAAGGAAGGGAAUCAUCUUCCCUUGAAAUGGAAGGUUAUUUUAAAAUGUUAUUUAUUACAUCCUGCCAUAUUUUUAACAUGUUUUGAACAGAUCCUCUAAGAGAGAAUUAGAUUUUUUCCCAUUCCAAAUAGUAUUAAACAUCAGUAACCCACUGACUUAAGAGUGGUGGGGUGGGAUUCGAGCAAAUUAGGUUUACGUGCCAAUAGUGUAGUAAAAGCAACUUUACUUUAAGACUAUCUGGGAGUCCACCAAAUACAGCUGUUAGUGGAUUAGGAGGGAUUUCAACACCAAGGCUGUCUGAAAGGCAUGUGAAAAUUUUCGUCUAAAAUGAUGGUAAUUUGCUGCACACCCAAAACAUAUGGCCCAAUGUGUCUGGAACUCGAUUUUAAUGUUCACAGAUUGAAUCUAGUCCUGGAAACAUUUUGGACAAUUUUAAAUGAGAUAGACGCGCUCGAUUAAAAGAUUUUCAGUUGAAUAAUUGAGUGCUUUGCACAUAGGAAGCUAGAGUGUAUGCUGUGCAUGGCUGCCUUCCACUCCUUUUCUGAAAUAUUAAGUGACAGAUCCUUUCCCCAAUGUACUCUGGAGUCUUUGAAAGGAAGGGAUUUAAAAUAUUUUUUAUAAAAUGUAGAGAUGCUAUCUGUGUCUUCAAGACUGAUCAGUAUUUCUUCUGGAAUACAAGAAGGUGGGAGGUGAGGAAAGUCAGGCAGGUUCUGUUUAGCAAACUUUCUAGCUUGAAAGCAGUGGAAGAAUUGUGACAUGAUGAGAAAUUGAAUUUGAAGCAUAAUUGUUCAUAGGACGUGAAGAUAUUAUCUAUGUUCAUGUCUCUUAAGUGUUUUAAUCCCAAAAAUUAAUUAGUGUAUAUGUUGGACAGGGUGAAAAAGGUGGUUGUCAUGUAGAGGUGCAACAGAUAAAAGCUGCUCCAUCUUAAAGUGUUUUCUACAUUGAUUCUAUAUUCUAAAAGAAUAAAGAGCAAUUGGAUUAUUAGUAUAUUGACGGUAAUUUGUAUUAACUGAGGUUCAUAGCAGGGAAUAUAAAGAAGUACAGAUUUUAUUUCUGUUGCAGACCAGCCUUAUGUAUAUUCAUCGAUUUGUGUUGAUGUCCGGGGGCCUCAUGCAUAACGGCGUGCGUAGUAUUCACCCUUAAUUAUGGCGUACGGACAAAGCAGAAAUGUGCGUAUGCACAAAAAAAUCCAGAUGCAUAAAUCUGUGCGUACGCCAACUUCCACGUUCUUCCGCUACAUAAAUCCCGGUCAGCGUGAAAAGUAACGCACAUGCACGUGUUUGCUGUCCUGCUCCGUCUCCUCUCAGAAUUACGCCUCUUUGAAUAUGCAAGUCAAUAUAAAUAUCCCUUAAGCUCGGUGUUCUAUGAGAAGAAAAUGGAAGAAUUUCAGCGAAUACCAAGUGGAGGCAAGGAAAAACGUACUAUUUGUUGGUUUAAACAGUGAUAUAAACAACAAAAGGAAGUUGUUUGAGUGACAGAGUGUUGAAGAAACUCAAAAGUUUAAAUUCACAAAGUCGCGCUGUGCCUGAAAUAAAAAAAAGUUGUCGCAUAUCAAAGUCACUGUGAAAAGGUGAGUCGUAGCCCACCGUCUGAGUGUCAUAUGGAAGCUUAUUAGGGUACAGAGAAAAAAAAAAAAAUAAUAAUUCAUUACAUUUAUAUAGCGCUUUUCUCAGUACUCAAAGCGCUGUCCACACAGGGAGGAACCAAAUAGGCACACAGUGUCAAAAAAAGCUCAAAAUGUCAACUUUAAUCUCAAAAUUUCCACUUUAAUCAUGUAGCUCAUUUUUUCAUUAAAGUAGAACGUCAUAAACUUCAUCUUAAAAUUGUUUAAAUUACUAGUUUCUCAAAUCCCAUCAUAACUAAAGUAGCACGUUAAAUGCUUUGUUUUGUAUGUGUUCUUCUAUGUGCUCUGUGUGUGAAUCGCUACUUGCUUCUUAAACGGGCUUUCUCUUCCUCCGACAGGACACAGAAUCCAUUACAUUCGUGAUAUUACAGCUCUCUGAAUAAUUUUAAAUACUGAGAUGUAUACAUGAAAUCAUUUUCAUGAUGGUAGGAAUUAAAGCACAUUAUUAAACAUGAGAACACGGUGGUGCAGGGGUAGUGAUGAGCUGGCGCCUUGUCCAGUGAUUGUUCCUGCCUCCCACAAGAUACUUGCUGUGCUGUGCGUGACCUUCAAUUAGAUAGAUAGAUAGAUAGAUAGAUACUUUAUUAAUCCCAAUGGGAAAUUCACAUUAAAUAAGUUAUUGCAGCAGUACUGUCUCUCUCAAACAUACUAACCUCCAAUUCAUGUCCUUCCUUUUCUUUCUCCAAGUACCCAUUCACCACACAAUCAGCUCUGUAAUAGAUGUUAAGCCAUCUGUAAGCUUAGAGCACCAAUUCUUCAAAACUUUUAAGGAACAUUGAAAUAACUUCGUAGUACAUGUUUAAUUACUCUAUCCAUCUGUCCAUCCAGUAUCUUGCCAGUCCCAGCAAGAAUACAGCGCGAGGCAGGAACAAUCCCUGAACGGGGGCGCCAGCUUAUCGCUACCACUGUGUCCUCACAUAUUAAAUUAUUAACAAUAUAGAUUAUUUAAAUGUUAAAAUUUUAUCUGUACAAUGUAAUAAACAUUUUGCUGCAUUUCAUCUUUAAAAUGAUAUCGUCAUCAUAUGUAAAUACACACUUUAUAAAGUGGCUCAGGUUGUGCAAUAUUAUAACUGUAUCGCAAGUUUACAGUGAGGUAAUUGUACUUGUAAGUACAAACACUUCUACCAGGAACACUUGAUGGACUGAUUGAGUGUGUUUAUAGUUCUUGGGAUGAAACUGUUUCUGAACCGCGAUGUCCCUACAGGAAAGGCCCUGAAGCGUUUGUCGUAUGAGAGCAGUUCAAUAGACAGCAUGGCUGAGGCAGCGUGUGCUUGAUGCUGUAUACUGAUAAUUCUCUUUCCGAUCAGCUGCUGUAGAGCUGUGAUUCCAAACUCAGAUACAGUGGGAUAAAUACUUGAGAGUAACAAUGCUGAAACAGCUAUGGUAUUUGGAAUAUUUUGGUCAUUCCGUGGACCAUUAUAUUGUUGCAGGUUAAUUACAAUCAGAUGCCUUAAACUAAUAAACAAUAUGCGGUUAAUUUCAGUGUAUAUGAUAAAGCUGCCUCAGGGAUGUGGAUCUAAAACAGAAAGGGAAACCACACUGGAACAAAAACACUGCUUUGACGCUGGGUGCCGCCAGUUUGCAAAACUGAGCGGAAAACUUGCGUAUGCCAAGGACUGAGUUGGCAUGAAAAUGUGCGUGGCUUUACGCCAAAUUUAGUUUUUAUGCAUUGCAAUGUGAGCGUGCAAACAGGCGUAUGCAACAUUUUUGUGUGUACUCACCAUUUAUACAUGAGGCCCCAGGUCUGUGUAGCUUGUAUAUUUUCCACCCAUUAAUAAAAUUGAAAGUGAGGUAGUGCCAUGCCCCCCUUCUGCUUUAGGUCGUUGCAAAGUCGCUCUUUGGAUGCAUGAAUGUUUCAGGUUGCAAUAAAUGAAGUUAUAAGAGUCUGUUUUCUGAUUUUAUUUUUUAAUAUAUGGGGAUGCUUUGAAAUAGGAAGAGAAGCUUGGAAAGAAGGAAAGAAUGGCCAUCUUAACAAUGUUGAUUCUCCCUGCUAAUAUAAGAUGGAGGGUAGCUAUUCAUGUCUUUUUUUUUUUUUUUUUUUUUAAUAUAAAUUUUGCUGUAAAAGAGCUUUAUAUUUACUUGAGAUAUUUUACCCCCUAAAUAUUUAAAGUGAUCUGCUAAGGUAAAUAGGAUGGUGUCCAGUCCAAUAUUGUGCUACAGAGUUCACUGGAAAAAAUACUUUUAUUCAAAUUAAUUUUAAGUUCAGAUAUCUUAAAAGCAUUUGCAAAUUUUCAAAAGACUGCUGGCACAGAAUUUUGUGGGUUAGAUAUAUACAGUAUCGUGUCAUCUGAAUUUAGUGCUAUAUUUUCAUCAAGUCCUCCUCUGAGUAUCCGCUUUAUCUCUGAUGUCUAUGGCCACAACAGUAUGAUGUCCCCGAUUUUGGAAGCUCAACACACUUGGGUUUGGGCAGUACUGGAUGGAAUACUGUAGUGUUGUACACAUAUGGUGGCGAAGAGUGGAAGGACCUUUACUCCUUAACCACUGGCUGCCUGGGCCCUUCAACAACAGUGGCUCCCUCACUAGCAAGUAGUCACUUCAUCAUGACUUGGUCAUUGUGGUCACUGUCAGCUUAACCAACCAUAGUAUGAUUGCUUGACAGCCUCAAUGGUGUAGGUAUGCUGAUUUGUCCUGUUACUCCUGUUCACUUACAGCUCAUAAAUAUGACUGUUGGAUCAGCUAGACUGAAAGUGACAGCAGUCCAGGCAGUGGCACCAAUAAAAUAUGGCCAAUUUACAUGCAAUUUGAGCUUUCUCUUACCUACUCUCACUUGUCAUGUGAUAACAAACCUUAAAUCUGACUUCUUGAAUUUAUCAUAUGUCACCUCCAGUCCAAGAACCCUGUUGAUUCUGGAGUCAGGACUUUUCAGUGUCCUUGUCUUCAGACCUCAUGAAGUAUGUCCACACUGUUAAUAGUGGCUCCUUUUUGUCACUAUUAUUUAGUAGAGGCCUAUAUAUUAAAGUAAUAUUUCACACUACUUUUCCACUUCUAGUCUUUGAGACACUAUCACUGUUUUAGUUGACACAGCAUCAGAUAUGGCAGUGUUAACUUUUGAAAGUCAAAGAGAGUGUAUAGAACAAGGAGAUUAAAAAAAGAAAUGAAUGAAUGUGUGUACUGUGAGUGAGCCUUGACAGUGAGACGUAACUGGUGGAGGAUUAAUGGGAUAAAAUGUGACAGUCUGCUGGUAUCCAUUGAAGUGCCAUAAGGACGAUUUACUUUGUCUCUUUCAGUGUCAGGACUCCACUUGUGUCUGUUAGUUUUCUGUAGCUCACGUUGGACUUGGCUACAGUCAUCUGUCUGCUGCACUGUGUCACAAUGGCCACUGGAUAGCCAUAGCAGUUUAGAGAGCAUCUUUUUUUUGAUGCUUUUUUUUAGGCUAGCACAUUAUAUAGAACUAGCCAACCCGCAGCGUAGCAUACGCUGCAUUGUGUUAAAACAAAUGCUUUAGGUUGCCUCACAUUUUUAUGCAAUCGUUUUGUUCACCCCACUGAAUUAAAGCUGAAAGUCUGCACUUCAACUGCAUCUGAGUUGUUUCAUUUAAAAUUCAUUGUGGUAAUGUACAGAACCAAAAAGUUGUCUCUGUCCAAAUAUUUAUGGACCUAACUGUAUGUCUGAGUGAUGGGCUAUACAAUAGUACAAGAUUAGUUGUAUUCAAAAUUGGUUGAACAAUUCUGAUGUAAAAUUUUAACAGGGGAUAAGAAAGGUAAUGUAGUACAUCUUCCGCAUAUAACAUUAGACACCAAAGGAGAUCUUGAUAUUCCAUUCGUAUUAAAACGUUUACAGUUUUCCGUUCAAUUAACAAAUCACAGGGACAAACAUUUGAAAACGUCGGCUUAUUUUUUUUAGAGAAAAACGAAAUUCACUCAUGGCCAGUUAUACGUUGCAUUGUCACGAUGUAAGUCCAAACACAGAAUCAAAAUUCAAUGCGAUGUUGACAAAAUUAAUUCCAAAUAUUGUUUUUACUGAAGUUUUACUGUGAAAGUGUACAUUUAAAAAGUAUUUGCGUGUUAAUUUCAAAGUCAAACAGAAUGAAAAUGUAUAACAACAAAUACCUCUAACACAACAUGAAACAUAAUUUUCUUUCAAUUUAUUGCGUUUUACUAUUUUUUACUAUGGUUAAUUACUCGCUGUAAUGUAAAAUAGCUCUAUUAUGCAUAUGUAAGAAUUCCCAUGAAAAUAAAAAUUUGUUUAAAUUGUACAUUUGCUUCCCCAUAUGCGAGCAACAGAGCUGCAAAGUGGCUAGUGCGUAGCACCCGCCUGGGGGUUGGCGAGCAGGGGGCCGAGCCCUGUAGUUUUCCAUAAAUUUAAAACUGUGUACGUUUGAGAGGGUGGAAAAAGGUAGUUCUCGUGCAGAGGUGCCACAGAUAAAAACUUCUCUAUCAUGAAGUACUUCCUACAUUGGUUCCAUAUUCUGAGUGAGUGAAGCACAAUUGAGUUGUUAGUAUAUUGUCGAUAAUUUGCACUUGUACAUAACUUGUACAUCUGGACUGGAUUUCAAGAAAAUUUUAUGUUGUGCGCUUCUGCAGGACCUGCACUGUCUGAACUAUGCACAGUACAAUCUGUGUGCGGUGUGUUGCAUACCCUAGUGCAGGCAGCGUUCCAGGCAUUUCUUGUGAUAGGCGGCCUUCUUGCUACCUGUGCACAUGACCAUGAGGCAAAGCCACUUCAAUUUCAACAGUUAGCUGCUGCCAGGACCAGGCCUCAUGACUCACGACGGGCAUACAGCUGAGUCCCAGUCCCCUCCUCCUCCUCUUCAAGCGUGGUGCCGCAGAGAGAGUGAUAGCCUACCUGGGUACAGUAAGCGACUCAGUUAGUGACUCAGUGAGCGACUGAGCCCAGGCAGCCUCCUCCUCUCCUUGCUACCAUCCACAUGACUUUUUCCUCAGGUCAGCACAAGUUCAGGUGAGCUAGUGAGCCUGAGGAGAGGAGGUCUUGGAGGCAGGAGCAAAGGCACUGCAGCAGGGACACUAUACCAACAGGGAAUUUUAACCAAUACAUACAUUCCAGGGCGACAUUAGGCAGAGACACAUUUAGCACUACAGUACACAAGUACAUCGCCAGUUGUCACUCCCCACAAAACGGCCCUGGUGGUGACGCUACAAUGACCAGUCACAUCUUGAUGGGAAAACACUUGACACAAGAAAUAGGAAGUUUUUCUGGAUUUUCCUAAAGUUGACAUGGCCACACUGGAACUGUUAUCUUCUUGCAAGAAACUCGUUUAAAUGAAAUGCAUCCAAAUAUAUGGAUAGCCCUCGGAAUUGCAACCACUACUCUUCACUUCUGCAAAGAGCUUUUUCAAAACUGAAGCUCAUAGAAAAUGACUUGAAGUCUACAAAGUCACAAGGCCUUGCAAUGAUAAGCACAAACAGAUGUGUCUACGAAGAUAUCGUUGGACGAUAUUAUCAAAGAUUUUGCUACAAGAAAGUCAAGUCAGUCCCAAUUUUAAAAAGACUGUUAUUUGAAAUGUUAAAGCCCUCCAUUUACCAGCAACGUGUUUCUAUUAUUAUUCAUUUGUUGUUGUUCUUUUUCCUAUAAAGUUUGUAGAGUCUGUUAAAUAAGUUGGUUACGUAGAAAGUGGUUCUGUUUUGUUAUAUAGAACAAUAAAAUAAGUUUUGGAAGUUUUGGUACA
Non-coding RNA from Erpetoichthys calabaricus (reedfish), 13347 nucleotides. Lineage: Eukaryota; Metazoa; Chordata; Cladistia; Polypteriformes; Polypteridae. The record is from the annotation of a RefSeq genome assembly.